GCCAGGAUAGCUCAGGUGGUAGAGCAGAGGAUUGAAAAUCCUCGUGUCGGCAGUUCAAGUCUGCCUCCCGGCA
RNAcentral lists this transfer RNA (73 nucleotides) under Waterburya agarophytonicola KI4. It matches the Rfam family "tRNA". Rfam says of the family: Transfer RNA (tRNA) molecules are approximately 80 nucleotides in length. Their secondary structure includes four short double-helical elements and three loops (D, anti-codon, and T loops). The record is from Rfam by way of RNAcentral. Lineage: Bacteria; Bacillati; Cyanobacteriota; Cyanophyceae; Pleurocapsales; Pleurocapsaceae. RNAcentral also lists the same sequence under 12 other names.